GGCAAGGUAGCUCAGUUGGUUAGAGCACAGCACUCAUAAUGCUGGGGUCGGCGGUUCGACUCCGCCCCUUGCUACCA
This 77-nucleotide transfer RNA is filed under the name Marinobacter nauticus. Its description in RNAcentral is "Marinobacter hydrocarbonoclasticus tRNA-Met". It matches the Rfam family "tRNA". From Rfam's summary of the family: Transfer RNA (tRNA) molecules are approximately 80 nucleotides in length. Their secondary structure includes four short double-helical elements and three loops (D, anti-codon, and T loops). Further hydrogen bonds mediate the characteristic L-shaped molecular structure. tRNAs have two regions of fundamental functional importance: the anti-codon, which is responsible for specific mRNA codon recognition, and the 3' end, to which the tRNAs corresponding amino acid is attached (by aminoacyl-tRNA synthetases). tRNAs cope with the degeneracy of the genetic code in two manners: having more than one tRNA (with a specific anti-codon) for a particular amino acid; and 'wobble' base-pairing, i.e. permitting non-standard base-pairing at the 3rd anti-codon position. Lineage: Bacteria; Pseudomonadati; Pseudomonadota; Gammaproteobacteria; Pseudomonadales; Marinobacteraceae. The record is from RNAcentral. RNAcentral also lists the same sequence under 114 other names.